CCAGACUCCUACGGGAGGCAGCAGUGGGGGAUAUUGGACAAUGGGGGGAACCCUGAUCCAGCGACGCCGCGUGAGUGAAGAAGUAUCUCGGUAUGUAAAGCUCUAUCAGCAGGGAAGAAAGAAAUGACGGUACCUGACUAAGAAGCCCCGGCUAACUACGUGCCAGCAGCCGCGGUAAUACGUAGGGGGCAAGCGUUAUCCGGAUUUACUGGGUGUAAAGGGAGCGUAGGCGGUUUAGCAAGUCAGAAGUGAAAGCCCGGGGCUCAACUCCGGGACUGCUCUGGAAACUGUUAAGCUGGAGUGCGGGAGGGGCAGGCGGAAUUCCUGGUGUAGCGGUGAAAUGCGUAGAUAUCAGGAGGAACACCGGCGGCGAAGGCGGCCUGCUGGACCGUGACUGACGUUGAGGCUCGAAAGCGUGGGGAGCAAACAGGAUUAGAUACCCCUGUA
RNAcentral lists this ribosomal RNA (447 nucleotides) under uncultured bacterium. RNAcentral's name for it is "bacterial SSU rRNA". It matches the Rfam family "Bacterial small subunit ribosomal RNA", at positions 331 to 792 of the family's 1533-position model. The record is from RNAcentral.